This 229-nucleotide ribosomal RNA is filed under the name uncultured bacterium. RNAcentral describes it as "partial 16S ribosomal RNA". It matches the Rfam family "Bacterial small subunit ribosomal RNA", at positions 568 to 796 of the family's 1533-position model. The record is from RNAcentral.
UGCGUAGGCGGUUUGUUUAGUCAGAUGUGAAAGCCCCGGGCUUAACCUGGGAACUGCAUUUGAAACUGGCAGACUGGAGUAUGGUAGAGGGGGGUAGAAUUCAUAGUGUAGCGGUGAAAUGCGUAGAUAUUAUGAGGAAUACCAGUGGCGAAGGCGGCCCCCUGGACCAAUACUGACGCUGAGGUACGAAAGCGUGGGUAGCGAACAGGAUUAGAUACCCUGGUAGUCC